AUUAAAUACAUGGUGUUCUGCGUCGGUGGGCGUAGACGGGGUCAGCGUGUGGGUGGAUCCAUGAUGUUUUGUGUUGAAAAACCCAUCUGCCUUGGCUAGACACCAAUCUUCAGCUCAGCAUCUGUGUCAGGGUUAUCAGGAUGGCGAAUCCGCCGCCGCUGCCGCCGCGCAUCCGUGACAACAGACAGUACCUGGAAGACUUGGAGCUGGCCUGCUCACUCAGCAUGGAGACCUUCCAGCACGAGACGAUGCGGCGGCGCGCUGGCGUCGAGAGGGAGGGUGCGCCAGCCACCGGGACGGAGGUGAAGCCACGGCCGCGGCCGGGCAGUUCUGCCUCGCUGCCGCGCUCACCAGACCCGCGCUCGGCACUGGAGCCGCCGCCGUCACUGCCGCCGCGCCGCCCGGUCGGCCGCUCGGCGUCGGCGGCGGCCGCAC
Molecule: long non-coding RNA, 435 nt
Organism: Pollicipes pollicipes
Lineage: Eukaryota; Metazoa; Arthropoda; Thecostraca; Pollicipedomorpha; Pollicipedidae
Exons: 4
Source: RefSeq, a predicted model, not a curated record